RNAcentral lists this ribosomal RNA (497 nucleotides) under uncultured bacterium. RNAcentral describes it as "partial 16S ribosomal RNA". It matches the Rfam family "Bacterial small subunit ribosomal RNA", at positions 28 to 507 of the family's 1533-position model. The record is from RNAcentral.
GAUGAACGCUGGCGGCGUGCCUAAUACAUGCAAGUCGAGCGAACAGACGAGGAGCUUGCUCCUCUGACGUUAGCGGCGGACGGGUGAGUAACACGUGGAUAACCUACCUAUAAGACUGGGAUAACUUCGGGAAACCGGAGCUAAUACCGGAUAACAUGUUGAACCGCAUGGUUCAACAGUGAAAGACGGUCUUGCUGUCACUUAUAGAUGGAUCCGCGCCGCAUUAGCUAGUUGGUAAGGUAACGGCUUACCAAGGCAACGAUGCGUAGCCGACCUGAGAGGGUGAUCGGCCAGACUGGAAGUGAGACACGGUCCAGACUCCUACGGGAGGCAGCAGUAGGGAAUCUUCCGCAAUGGGCGAAAGCCUGACGGAGCAACGCCGCGUGAGUGAAGAAGGUCUUCGGAUCGUAAAACUCUGUUAUUAGGGAAGAACAAAUGUGUAAGUAACUAUGCACGUCUUGACGGUACCUAAUCAGAAAGCCACGGCUAACUACGUG